Molecule: unclassified non-coding RNA, 263 nt
Filed under: plant metagenome
Description: partial contains small subunit ribosomal RNA, internal transcribed spacer 1, and 5.8S ribosomal RNA
Source: RNAcentral
UUUCCGUAGGUGAACCUGCGGAGGGAUCAUUAUUGUGUAACCGAGGUGCGAGGGCUGUCGCUGACCCGAAAGGUCGUGCACGCCCGAGUGCCCUCACUCACAUCCAUCUCACCCCUAUGUGCACCACCGCGUGGGUCCCCCUUUGGCUCGUUCGGAGGGGGGCUUACGUUUUCACACAAACUUUGUAUGCAGUGUAGAAUGUAUUUUUUGUUUUUGCGAUCACGCAAUCAAUACAACUUUCAACAACGGAUCUCUUGGCUCUC